Macrosteles quadrilineatus (aster leafhopper) is the source of this 657-nucleotide long non-coding RNA. RefSeq lists it as uncharacterized. Lineage: Eukaryota; Metazoa; Arthropoda; Insecta; Hemiptera; Cicadellidae. The transcript has 3 exons. The record is from RefSeq and is a predicted model, not a curated record.
GAGUCAUCUCAUCUUCCAUCAUCGGCACGGCACUCGGCAGCUCCAGAGCAUCUUUCAUUUCAAUCAAUCAUCUCUAGUCCUAGUCUCAAUCUCGUAAUUUUUAUUUCACUUCACACCAUGUUGCAAUGAUUGUAUUUUCCCUUUGCUUUGAGAUUCUGAUGUAUAAUAAUACAAUUAUUUACGGAUGAAUACAGUUUUUUAAUGGUGGCCAACUUGAGAUACCAGCUUUAAGGCACGUAUAAAACCAUGGGGCACGAGGUCAAAAUAAAAUCAGUAGACUCUACACAAGACUGACCAAGUUUCUAACAUCCUUUGAAGCUACAGGAAAGGGAAGGAUGCCGCUACAGUCGAAGAGAAUCGGGCCUAUGGAGAUGUCAGCGAAGAUAUAAACACUUUUCAACAAUCACUAGGCCUAUACAUUGAGCCUACAGUUAUUAAUUUUUAAAUCUUGAAAGUGAUUUACUUUGGCCUAUACAUUGAGCCUACAGUUAUUAAUUUUUAAAUCUUGAAAGUGAUUUACUUUUGUUUACAGAUUUGAUAUAUUAUAAGAAUAUUUUGUUCGCUUGGUUUUUUGGUCUCUUUUACUUUUGUGAUUUGACCUUCUAUAAAAAAUGUAUAUUUUGGGCUUUGUGAAAGAAUAAACAAAAUAUUUUUAAA